GGCGCGGUCGCCGGCAGGGUGAUAGUGCAGAGAAUCCUGUGUUUUGCAUUUGCGAAGUUGAAGGUAAAAAAUUGAAGGCUUCGAUUAUGACAUCGUGGACGGAAGAUAAUCCGGGUAGGAGAUUCUAUGGAUGUAGGAAUUGGAAGGUAUGUUUAUAUUCAAAUCUUGUUUCGGUGUUAUUGAGUUUGUCGGCUUAAAAAUUCCAUUCUUUUUAGGCUAGGAACUGCGGUUUUUUUGAUUGGAUUGACGCCCCCAUAACUGAAAGAGCUAAGGAGGUUAUCAACGACUUGAAGAGUGAAAAUUUGAAGUUGAUGAAGGUGAAGCAUGAGAGCUCCAAAACAGAGACCAUGGAUGUGGAGCUUGAAAUUGAAAGGCUUUGGGGUGCUAUGCAAACUAUGAAGGAAGAUUCGAAGAAGAUGAUGAAGAAAACUAGCUUAGUUUCAUUUCUUUUUGUUGCUUCAUGGGUUGCGAUUGCGUAUUAUGCAAUAGCAUAAUGCAUGUAUGUAUUGGUUAUUUGCCCUUUUCUUGAGCCCCCUGUAAUGAAAGGCUUAAUGCCCUUUUUUGGAAAUGAGAUGGGA
This 578-nucleotide long non-coding RNA is filed under the name Salvia miltiorrhiza (redroot sage). Its description in RNAcentral is "long non-coding RNA (SMIL_LNC007725)". Lineage: Eukaryota; Viridiplantae; Streptophyta; Magnoliopsida; Lamiales; Lamiaceae. The record is from RNAcentral.